UGGUCUGCGCAGCUUAGAGCAGCAUUAAUUUCCAAUGUGUGUUUCUUCCUUCUAGAAGCCAAGGCCCCAUUUAUGAAAGCUGGCUGUCAUCCAGUCUUAACUACAACGAGAACGUUCACGUUUGGCCGCUCUCGAAGUGAGAAGGGCGAGGAGGGUGAAAGUUUUUUUUUUUUUUUUUGGAAAUGAGCCUUUAAAAUCGUGCUUAACCACGUGACAGAUGAGGGCACCGAAGAGCCAGGCGGCGACAGGUGUUCCAAGUUCGAAUCACUACCGAGUGCGGUUGGCAAGGUUGGAAUGCCAUUCCCUGACAAGAGCGACUUGAGGGAGAGCGACUUUAUUUCGGCUGAGUCCGUCACGGUUUCCGCCACCACAUCAGGGUUAGAUCUGGAGGGCGUGGAGCUAAGUUCCCAGGAACAGGGCCGGCUAUACUCUCAUUCAUGCGCGGAGAUGCUUGUCAGAUGGUGACUGAAACCAGAAGGAGAGAUCUGUGCCGGGGAUAAGCAGAGACACUGAUCUACAAAGGAAAGAGCCACCCAAACAAACAGAGCAACUGGGGCCUCAUUAACAACUGUUUCUCACACUGUGAAAGCAAGACUCACUCAUCAACCCUUCUCUGGUGUGAAGUGGAGACAUGGCAUCCCAACUUCAGAAACAUUCAGGAAAGGCUCUGUAGGUUCUCACCAGAAUGUGGUCCCAAGUUACCAUGGAAACCUUCAUGUGGAAAAGCCUUUACUAAAAACAGUCUCAUACUCAGUAUGAGGAGAAUAUUUAGAGCCCAAGAAAG
Long non-coding RNA from Meriones unguiculatus (Mongolian gerbil), 784 nucleotides. RefSeq lists it as uncharacterized. Lineage: Eukaryota; Metazoa; Chordata; Mammalia; Rodentia; Muridae. The transcript has 3 exons. The record is from RefSeq and is a predicted model, not a curated record.